This 429-nucleotide ribosomal RNA is filed under the name Chloroflexota bacterium. Its description in RNAcentral is "Chloroflexi bacterium partial 16S ribosomal RNA". It matches the Rfam family "Bacterial small subunit ribosomal RNA", at positions 355 to 776 of the family's 1533-position model. The record is from RNAcentral. Lineage: Bacteria; Bacillati; Chloroflexota.
UGGGGAAUAUUGCACAAUGGGCGCAAGCCUGAUGCAGCCAUGCCGCGUGUGUGAAGAAGGCAUUCGGGUUGUAAAGCACUUUCAGCGGGGAGGAAGGCGAUAAGGUUAAUAACCUUGUCGAUUGACGUUACCCGCAGAAGAAGCACCGGCUAACUCCGUGCCAGCAGCUGCGGUAAUACGGAGGGUGCAAGCGUUAAUCGGAAUUACUGGGCGUAAAGCGCACGCAGGCGGUCUGUCAAGUCGGAUGUGAAAUCCCCGGGCUCAACCUGGGAACUGCAUUCGAAACUGGCAGGCUAGAGUCUUGUAGAGGGGGGUAGAAUUCCAGGUGUAGCGGUGAAAUGCGUAGAGAUCUGGAGGAAUACCGGUGGCGAAGGCGGCCCCCUGGACAAAGACUGACGCUCAGGUGCGAAAGCGUGGGGAGCAAACAGG